AAUGACAACCUAAUCUCGUGAAUGUGUUUUAUUGAGAAACCCUCCAGUGUCCAUCCCUCGCCCAUCCAGAAUUCAAACCUCCCCCUCCAGUGUCCAACUCUCAGCUUCUAGAAAUCAAACCUCGCCCUCAAGUGUCCGAAUCUCGCCCUCCAGUUUCCAACCCUCGUCUUCCAGCAUCCAAAAGUCGCCAUCCAGAAAUCGACCCUGAACUUCUAGAGCUUAUCUUUGGCCUUCCAGGGCCCAACCCUAACCCUCCAGCAUCCAACCCUAACCCUCCAGCACCCAACCCUAACCCUCCAGCAUCCAACCCUAACCCUCGAGCGUCCAACCCUAACCCUCCAGCACCCAACCCUAACCCCACAACAUCCAACCCUAACCCUCCAGCGUCCACUCCUCGCCCUCCAGUGUUCCAUCUCCUUGACUUGCAGACAAACAAAACAUUGAACAAAUUCUUGCAGACCCAGACAGAUUCUUAUGUAACAGAGAGUCAGUGGUGCAGCUUCCCGCUAUCCAACCAGGUAACCCUUCAUCAGCUCCCAGCGACCCUUCAUCAGCUCCCAGCGACCCUUCAUCAGCUCCCAGCGAACCUCUGUCGGUGGUCCGGCCAAGACCCAGGAGGGUAUCCCAGCCAGCGGUCUGGCCUCAAGAGAGUUUCAGCCUUCAUCUUCGCCGCUGGCCUCCUGGGGGGUUCGGCCCACGCCUUCGCCGCCAGGCUCCAGUGGGUCCCAGCUCACGCCUUCGCCGCCGGCCUCCACUUCAACCACGAUGUGAUGAAGUGUUUUUUCUGUCUAAAUCCAACCAGAGCAUCAGCACAACAUUGUGACAAGAGAGAAAUACAAACGUAAAAAAGCUUGAAGUUGCAACAUAAAGAAAUAAAAGCUUCAGGUUAUUUGUGGUUUUACAGAACUGUACAAACAUUUAUCCUGCAGACUGGGUCAGUUUCAACAGGUAAGAAUCUAGAAAUAACAGAUGUUGUAUUGUAAAAAAAAUUUAUCAAUCUAAUAUUUACAUAAAACACAAUUCAAAAUAUUAUACAUGUUCACAAUUUAAAUACAACAACUGACAUCAUCAACCACAGUCAUGUCUGACAUCACAAAC
This 1098-nucleotide long non-coding RNA is filed under the name Sparus aurata (gilthead seabream). Its description in RNAcentral is "lncRNA (ENSSAUG00010001060.1)". The record is from RNAcentral. Lineage: Eukaryota; Metazoa; Chordata; Actinopteri; Spariformes; Sparidae.